This 467-nucleotide ribosomal RNA is filed under the name uncultured bacterium. RNAcentral's name for it is "partial 16S ribosomal RNA". It matches the Rfam family "Bacterial small subunit ribosomal RNA", at positions 28 to 507 of the family's 1533-position model. The record is from RNAcentral.
GACGAACGCUGCGGCGUGCUUAACACAUGCAAGUCGAACGGAAAGGCCCUGCUUUUGUGGGGUGCUCGGGUGGCGAACGGGUGAGUAACACGUUAGUAACCUGCCCUUGACUUUGGGAUAACUUCAGGAAACUGGGGCUAAUACCGGAUAGGAGCUCCUGCUGCCUGGUGGGGGUUGGAAAGUUUCGGCGGUUGGGGAUGGACUCGCGGCUUAUCAGCUUGUUGGUGGGGUAGUGGCUUACCAAGGCUUUGACGGGUAGCCGGCCUGAGAGGGUGACCGGCCACAUUGGGACUGAGAUACGGCCCAGACUCCUACGGGAGGCAGCAGUGGGGAAUAUUGCACAAUGGGCGGAAGCCUGAUGCAGCAACGCCGCGUGCGGGAUGACGGCCUUCGGGUUGUAAACCGCUUUCGCCUGUGACGAAGCGUGAGUGACGGUAAUGGGUAAAGAAGCACCGGCUAACUACGUG